UCAAAAUUCAAUAAAUUUAAUUUCUUUUUAAAAUUAUAAAAUACCAAACAAAUAUGAUUCCUUUGAAUAAAAAAUGAUACCAUACAACAAAAGCCCCUGAUUAGAAAGAAAUUUAGAAAAAUAAAUUGAGAAACAAUUGUAUNGUCACAUCAAGAUANACUAGAAGUCAAUGUAAUCUCAUUACAGAAUGUAAUCUCAUUACAAAAGUAGUUACAAAGAAAGAAAUGUUACUUAAUUCAUAAUAAACUAGGUAUAGUUUUAUCCUAAAACAAUAUCAUAAACUUUCUAAAUGUUACUUCCAUCAAAUCAUUGUCUUGUACCCAAAGGAGACUCUGACUCAUUUGCAUCACGAGCUUGCUGAAAUAAUAUAAAAAAAAUUAAUAAAAUAAACUCAAUUACAUGUACUCACAUUUUGUAAAUAUAUAAAAAAAUAAUCAAAUAAAAUUCAGUUUUAAAAGUCAUUAUUCAAUAAUGAAAACACAAAGUUAAGGCAACAAAAUUCACAUGUUAACAUAUUAAAGCAUCAAAUACCCAACAACACAACUUGGGUAAAAGUAAAUCUAAUAGAAGUAAAUUACUUACAUAGGAAAGGAUCACCAUUUGGUAGAUUUUAAAUUGCUUACUGCAUAGAUUCAUAGCACCAAAAACAAGAGGAAAAGCAAGUUUGAAUGUUUGAUAAAGGAGGCAAAAUGGGAGGGAGAGUUUUA
This 707-nucleotide long non-coding RNA is filed under the name Vigna radiata. Its description in RNAcentral is "long non-coding RNA (VRAD_LNC015658)". Lineage: Eukaryota; Viridiplantae; Streptophyta; Magnoliopsida; Fabales; Fabaceae. The record is from RNAcentral.